RNAcentral lists this ribosomal RNA (946 nucleotides) under uncultured organism. Its description in RNAcentral is "bacterial SSU rRNA". It matches the Rfam family "Bacterial small subunit ribosomal RNA", at positions 105 to 1067 of the family's 1533-position model. The record is from RNAcentral.
GGUGCGUAACACGUUGGUGACCUGCCCCGAGGUGGGGGAUAACCGUGGGAAACCACGGCUAAUACCCCGGAUGCCAAAGUAUUUAGAAAGCUUUGGCUAAAGCUCCGGCGCCUCGGGAGGGGCCUGCGGGCUAUCAGCUUGUUGGUGGGGUAAUGGCCUACCAAGGCAAAGACGGCUAGGGGGCGUGAGAGCGCGACCCCCCACAAUGGAACUGAGACACGGUCCAUGCUCCUACGGGAGGCAGCAGUGAGGAAUAUUGCGCAAUGGGGGCAACCCUGACGCAGCAACGCCGCGUGGAUGAUGAAGGCCUUCGGGUUGUAAAAUCCUUUUCCGGGGGAAGAAUCAUGACGGUACCUCGGGAAUAAGUCCCGGCUAACUACGUGCCAGCAGCCGCGGUAAAACGUAGGGGGCGAGCGUUAUCCGGAUUUACUGGGCGUAAAGCGCACGUAGGCGGCGCUGUAAGUUGGGCGUGAGAGCUCCCGGCUCAACUGGGAGAGGUCGUUCAAAACUGCAGUGCUUGAGGUUGGAAGAGGAGAGUGGAAUUCCCGGUGUAGUGGUGGAAUGCGUAGAUAUCGGGAGGAACACCAGUGGCGAAGGCGGCUCUCUGGUCCAACCCUGACGCUGAGGUGCGAAAGCGUGGGGAGCGAACGGGAUUAGAUACCCCGGUAGUCCACGCUGUAAACGAUGGAUACUAGGUGUGGGAGGUUACUUACCCCUUCCGUGCCGUAGCUAACGUGAUAAGUAUCCCGCCUGGGGACUACGGCCGCAAGGUUAAAACUCAAAGGAAUUGACGGGGGCCCGCACAAGCAGCGGAGCGUGUGGUUUAAUUCGAUGAUACGCGAAGAACCUUACCUGGGCUUGACAUGUUGGUAGUAGUGAAGCGAAAGCGGAUCGACCCUUCGGGGAGCCAUCACAGGUGCUGCAUGGCUGUCGUCAGCUCGUGUCG